GUAACAAGGUUUCCGUAGGUGAACCUGCGGAAGGAUCAUUACCUAGAGUUGUAGGCUUUGCCUGCUAUCUCUUACCCAUGUCUUUUAAGUACCUUCGUUUCCUCGGCGGGUUCGCCCGCCGAUUGGACAAUUUAAACCCUUUGCAGUUGCAAUCAGCGUCUGAAAAAACAUAAUAGUUACAACUUUCAACAACGGAUCUCUUGGUUCUGGCAUCGAUGAAGAACGCAGCGAAAUGCGAUAAGUAGUGUGAAUUGCAGAAUUCAGUGAAUCAUCGAAUCUUUGAACGCACAUUGCGCCCCUUGGUAUUCCAUGGGGCAUGCCUGUUCGAGCGUCAUUUGUACCUUCAAGCUCUGCUUGGUGUUGGGUGUUUGUCUCGCCUCUGCGUGUAGACUCGCCUCAAAACAAUUGGCAGCCGGCGUAUUGAUUUCGGAGCGCAGUACAUCUCGCGCUUUGCACUCAUAACGACGACGUCCAAAAGUACAUUUUUACACUCUUGACCUCGGAUCAGGUAGGGAUACCCGCUGAACUUAAGCAUAUCAAUAA
This 543-nucleotide unclassified non-coding RNA is filed under the name Didymella aurea. RNAcentral describes it as "sequence contains 18S rRNA gene, ITS1, 5.8S rRNA gene, ITS2, 28S rRNA gene". The stretch from base 181 to 334 matches the Rfam family "5.8S ribosomal RNA". Lineage: Eukaryota; Fungi; Ascomycota; Dothideomycetes; Pleosporales; Didymellaceae. The record is from RNAcentral.